ACAUUACGAAUUUGAUAAUUCCAUCACAUUUUCUGUUAUAGAAACAAGCAACACGUCUCUACCAAAUGUGGCACCACCAGAACCUUCAAGGAAACUUUAAAUGUGGCAAAUGCAGUAUUUGUCCCCAUUCUGAUAAUGGAAAAAAGCAAAUACUGAACAAUUGAGGUCUAUUAAGAACAUUAAGAACUAUUAAGAACAUGGAUUUGAAAUAUCCUUUGGCCCACCACUUUCAGAAGGAACACAGUCAGGACUCAACAGACAGUAUGUCAUUCUUUGGACUAGAUAAAAUCAAUAUGUCACCGAGAGGAGCAAACACAGAAAAAGCUCCUAAGAUGUAGAGAAGCAUACUAAAUUAUUAUAAUGGACACAUGUAACUCAUGCCUGAAUUUCGACACUGAAAUGAGCCACUUUCUGUUACAUAAUCAUUUUGUCCUUUCCAAUUUUUGCUUUCAAUCUUGUAUAUUUCCAUACUUGUAAUUCAUUCUGCCAUUUGCAUCGCUUCAGGGUUUUUCUUCUCUUUUUAAUUUUCCCUUUAAGGGAUUACUUAGUCCUAUAUAAAUCAGCACUACACACAAUUCACAUGUUGCGCAUGUAAGAACAUGACUCAGUGUAAUUCCACUGGUCUAAAAUAGUGAGACAAACAAGUAUAGCGUCAAAAAACGGUAUGCAUUUAUAAUUUUUGUCAAUGUUAAUUGAGUUUAAACUUUUGUUAAUGUGUGCAACGAGAAUAAUGUAAAGUAAAAACAAGAGCGCAAAUGAGUGGAUGCUCCCUUGUUGGCCUGCAGUAAUACGAGUUGACAUGCCCCAGGCAAGAUGGCAGUUUCAUGUGCCCAUCAGCGUGAUGACGAGGUCAUGCAAAUUAAGUGCGAUCACAUCAUCAUGUUCUUACAUAAGCAGCGAUUUUUGUUUCAACGCAGUGUAAAUGCUGCAAGGAUAAUCGAAUCUAGGGAAAUUCAAUAUUGUUUCGGUAAGCACAUUUCUACAAACCCAAAACAAAGCUUGUAAAUCCAACUCUAGGUAUUUGAACUAGUAAUCCAGUUUCAUUUAAACUGUCUUAAAUGAGAAUUGCAAACUGUGCGAUUUAAUUUGCAGGAACCAAUUUGAACUAAAGGAAGGGACAGAAGAAAUUCUUUGAAUUCAAUAAAAUGGACUAAAUUCAGUUCCAGUGAACCAGCACAUAGAGUGAGUAAUACAGUCAACAUUGAAUUGUGUACAUCAGUUUAAAGUAUUAUUACAUUUUUGAUAAUUGGACCGACAUUUUGAACAAUUUGCAAUUUGAUUUUGUUUCCUUUUAGAUUUACUAUUAUCCUCCUGAUGAACCACCAAAUGCAGUUGGGGAAACACAUGUUGAGGAAUGACGAAUUAGAGGAAUGAGGAAUAAUGUAAAUUUACAAGGACUUACUCAAUAAACAUACAAAUUGGCACAAACUACGGAUUGCAAUUUCUUUAUUCACCCUGGAAUGUGUUGCCCCAAGAGAGUGGCUUCCAUCUUUAAAAGCAUCACGGUUCCAGCGGCGACCAAUGAGUUCCUGGUGGCCCUAGAAAAUCGAGGGUUGAUGGUGCAAACCUCACGCCGGGCCGUACCUAUAUCCACAGCAGGUCUUCAAGGUGAACAGCAUCUGGCAUGUUGGAACAAUGUAGGUAAGGGAAGUCGGCAUGUUCAAUCCGUAACUUCAACAUAAGGAUUAGCUAUAAGGGCCAGGUCAGUCGAGCUGUGGUGCAAAGCGGGCUGGGUGUUUGCCAUGGCUGGAUGAGGCAUCUUCCCACCUGGGGGCAGUGGCGACUCUGGAUGCUAGCCAGGCCCUUCCUCUGGAUUAUCCCAGCUGCCGUGGUCACCUGUCUCUGUUCCCCUCCCAGGGUUCUGCCCCAACAUUCUGCCUCAACCGAUGCCUAGUAGCUGAAUUAGAACCAGUGCAGACCAGGGCAACCCGACUUUUCAAUUUUAACAAAGCAUUACGAAGACCUGCAGCAGGUGUUGAGGCAGUGUGAUUUCUGGACAGUUCUCUGAAUCUCAAAGUGUACGAAUUCAAUGAAGCACGGUUAAAUGGCAGGAGUAAAUAUGACUCUCAUAAGGUAGCCAAAUGCCUUGUCAUCUAAUUAGUUAUGCACAUGAAUGAAUGAAUGAGAUCCCCACUGCCCCUACCUGCUAUCUAGCUGAACCAGAGCCAAGGGUGCAGGCUUGGCAGAAUCAGCAGGGUAUAGCGGGGAGACCCUGUUGAGCUUUACUCUAAUCCGGCAUUCUGAAGAGACGUGAGAGGUGUCGGAUAAGUGGGAGUCCCUCAGGAAGUCAGUGAAACACUACUACUCAUAUUAUUGGUUGACUUCACCAGUGAGGCUUGGGGUGAUCCCCGUGGGGCUCUCGCGUCUGGCUCCAAGUGCCUAGUGGUUGCCAGGCAUGAUCCACUCCAGGGACAGUGGCAGGUGAGGAGUUUGACUGGUGUGGUGCACCUGUCAAAGGAUAUACUGGUGCUAAGGUGGUGCAGUCUCAGCAGUGUAGUCUAUUUACCUGUUCUAUUGGUGAGAGGAGGAGCUGCUUCCAUUCCAAUCUCUUCAGAAUCCCCAUUUCAAUGCAGAACAGGUGCUGCGCUGGUGCUGAGGUGGUGCAGUCUCAGAAGUGCAGUCUGUUUACCUGUUCUAUUGGUGAGAGGAGGAGCUGCUUCCAUUCCAGUCUCUUCAAAAACCCGAUUUCAACACGUAGCAGGGCAGUCUCAAGCAGGAUCCGGCUCCCACUGCCGUGGAAAUGCCAUCUCACGAUCUUAUCACUAGACAGAAACUGAUGCAGCUGAGUGUGGAUUUUUGGUGGGCUGGAUAUGAUGAAGUAAGGGCUUGGCUACCCUCCCCCUGGGUUAAAGGACCUGUCCACUACUCCUAUAGGAUCCACCUCUUCCCCUUUUCUUCUCAUUCCAUCCCCUACUUGCAAAUUGCCCUACACUGACAUUACCACAAUGCCUGAGUCAUGCUCUGUUCAAGCUAUUCGAGUAC
Molecule: ribosomal RNA, 2982 nt
Filed under: Ambystoma mexicanum (axolotl)
Lineage: Eukaryota; Metazoa; Chordata; Amphibia; Caudata; Ambystomatidae
Description: eukaryotic LSU rRNA
Rfam family: Eukaryotic large subunit ribosomal RNA (bases 1629-2982)
Source: RNAcentral